Long non-coding RNA from Erinaceus europaeus (western European hedgehog), 678 nucleotides. RefSeq lists it as uncharacterized. NCBI's taxonomy places the organism in Eukaryota, Metazoa, Chordata, Mammalia, Eulipotyphla, Erinaceidae. The transcript is spliced from 3 exons. The record is from RefSeq and is a predicted model, not a curated record.
GUGUGGAGUCGCUGUGAGGAGCUUCUGUGUGGAGUCGCUGUGUGGUGGCGCUGUGAGGAGUCGCCGUGUGGAGUCGCCGUGUGGUGGCGCCGUGUGGUGGCGCUGUGAAGAGUCGCUGUGAGGAGUCGCUGUGUGGAGUCGCUGUGAGGAGUCGCUGUGUGGUGGCGCUGUGUGGAUCACUGUGUGGAGUCGCUGUGUGGAGUCGCUGUGUGGAGUCGCUGUGUGGUGGCGCUGUGAGGAGUUGCUGUGUGGAGUCUCUGUGAGGAGUCGCUGUGAGGAGUCGCUGUGAGGAGUCGCUGUGAGGAGUCGCUGUGUGGUGGCGCUGUGUGGAGUCGCUGUGUGGAGUCACUGUGUGGAGUCGCCGUGUGGAGUCGCUGUGAGGAGUCGCUGUGUGGAGUCGCUGUGAGGAGUCGCUGUGUGGAGUCGCUGUGAGGAGUCGCUGUGAGGAGUCACUGUGUGGUGGCGCUGUGAGGAGUCGCCGUGUGGAGUCGCUGUGAGGAGUCGCUGUGUGGAGUCGCUGUGAGGAGUCGCUGUGUGGAGUCGCUGUGAGGAGUCGCUGUGAGGAGUCACUGUGUGGUGGCGCUGUGAGGAGUCGCCGUGUGGAGUCGCUGUGAGGAGUCGCUGUGAGGAGUUGCUGUGAGGAGUCGCUGUGUGGGGUGUCAGUGGCCGGGCACUCAG